AGGUGAGGCUCUGAUUUUGGGUGAUUUCAAUACUUUGGCUUUUGACUGAUAUGGGUUUUGAUGUUUUGGGUGUUUUGUUUGUCCUGCAGUUUCGAUUCUGGACGGUUGAUUGAAAAAAUUACAAGACAUAAUAUGACGAAUCUCGGUGUUUGGAUUUUGAUUUGAGGAAGCUGAAAACUUAUCUGGCCAAUUCGGAUUUGAGGUUGUGAUAACUUGAUCACUUGAUCAAUAUAAGAUGUCUCCAGCCAAUUCGGAUUUGGAUUUGAGGUUGCUGAUAACUUGCUUCAUGAAGCCACUAGGAAUCUAGAAAGUUUGAUAUUUUUCUCCCAGACCCUUAGAACCAAGGUAAUUCUCUUUCCCUAUUAAUGAUCACUUCUUUCUUAUGUUUCUAGAGAGCUGUUUAAGAUUCAAUGUUCAAGCUUUGAGAACCUGUUUUUAUUUAUUUAUUUUUUUUUUUUAAUGAUGAUUGCUAUGGUUUAGAUUGUAGUUUAUUUUUUAGUUAUCUCAUAAUUUUCUUAAUAUGUGUGUUCCAAUUUUUAGUUUCAAAUGAUGCGUUCUAUAGUGCCAUAGGUUCAGGAAGAAGCAUCACAAACCUGUUUGUUGCAAUA
Molecule: long non-coding RNA, 608 nt
Organism: Rosa chinensis
Lineage: Eukaryota; Viridiplantae; Streptophyta; Magnoliopsida; Rosales; Rosaceae
Exons: 4
Source: RefSeq, a predicted model, not a curated record